AUUGAACGCUGGCGGCAGGCCUAACACAUGCAAGUCGAACGGUAACAGGAAGAAGCUUUCUUCUUUGCUGACGAGUGGCGGACGGGUGAGUAAUGUCUGGGAAACUGCCUGAUGUAGGGGGAUAACUACUGGAAACGGUAGCUAAUACCGCAUAACGUCGCAAGACCAAAGAGGGGGACCUUCGGGCCUCUUGCCAUCGUAUGUGCCCAGAUGGGAUUAGCUAGUAGGUGGGGUAACGGCUCACCUAGGCGACGAUCCCUAGCUGGUCUGAGAGGAUGACCAGCCACACUGGAACUGAGACACGGUCCAGACUCCUACGGGAGGCAGCAGUGGGGAAUAUUGCACAAUGGGCGCAAGCCUGAUGCAGCCAUGCCGCGUGUAUGAAGAAGGCCUUCGGGUUGUAAAGUACUUUCAGCGGGGAGGAAGGGAGUAAAGUUAAUACCUUUGCUCAUUGACGUUACCCGCAGAAGAAGCACCGGCUAACUCCGUG
RNAcentral lists this ribosomal RNA (490 nucleotides) under uncultured bacterium. Its description in RNAcentral is "partial 16S ribosomal RNA". It matches the Rfam family "Bacterial small subunit ribosomal RNA", at positions 30 to 507 of the family's 1533-position model. The record is from RNAcentral.